AAUUCUUGAUAAAAAUAUACCCGUAUAUGCUUGAUAAUAUGGUUCAAGCGUUUCUACCAGACUGCCGUAAAUUGUCUGACUAUGGGUGUUUAUAGAUAUCAU
Molecule: non-coding RNA, 102 nt
Filed under: Clostridiales bacterium oral taxon 876 str. F0540
Lineage: Bacteria; Bacillati; Bacillota; Clostridia; Eubacteriales
Also listed under: 1 other name
Description: Purine riboswitch aptamer
Rfam family: Purine riboswitch aptamer
About the family: Riboswitches are metabolite binding domains within certain messenger RNAs that serve as precision sensors for their corresponding targets. Allosteric rearrangement of mRNA structure is mediated by ligand binding, and this results in modulation of gene expression.
Source: Rfam by way of RNAcentral